AGACCACAACAGAUCCACUCUGAGCCUCUUUAAAACACCCACAAUCAGUCAGAACAGAGUGACACAUGAACCAAUCUGCAUGUGGUCUGCAGAUCAGACACACAGACACUGAGUGUGGUCCAUCAACAGCUCUUCCUAAUCAACCCCAGAGACCCCGGCCUUUUAGCCGCCAGCCCUCAACAUGUCUCGCUGUGUUUACACACGCUGAUUAGUUUGGGCGCUGGACAGCAGGGCCCAUCCAGGAGACAAACUCAACUGGUUGUAUAAGAGCCAGAAGCCAAGACAGAGGGACAGAGGAGAGCCAGCAGCAUCACACUGAGACAGUGUCCAUCAUAAAGUAAAUGGAAACAAAAUAGUUUCUUAGUUUUGGCCAUCCAUCCACACUUGGCCAACAAGCCGGCACGCAAAAGAGUCUUAUCUUAUUAUCAUGUGAUCCAGUUUCAGCUGAUGACGCAAUUGUCAUUAAAGGAUAAUUCUGGUUUAUUACAACUUAGAUCUUAUUUUGGUGGUUAUGGCCAUUAUUCCUAUGACAUUGUACUUAAAUAAGUCCAACAUAGCAAGAACCACAAUCCCUUAGAUCAGUAGUACCCAACCUUUUUCCAUACCUGACCCCUUUUCUACCACUGAAUAAAUUACGACCCCUGACUAAGACCUAAAUAAUGAACACAAUAAGUGCAGAAAGUUUGAGUAAAAUAAGAGAUUUGGAUGAAUUUUUGAGAGGAUUAUUACCUUUGAAUAUUGCAUAACAACAUUUUGUACAAUUCUUUGUCUGUGUUAUGCAUUUUUAACAAUCACACAUACUUCAUAGACAUAUUUGACAAAUUUGACUAAUUCAGUGUUUUCUUCUUCCUGAUGUUUGGCCAUUGUUCUGUUAGUUGUUUGGUUGUUUUAACUGUCCUGUGUACUUUUCUAAAGCAGGACGAGACUGUUUAGCAGAGAGUGAAGGCUCUGUGUAUAUAGCUUUUGUUCAGGUCUGCAAAUUAGAUCUUAAAUAAUGAACAUUAAAAACUACGAUUUUAUUUAGUUUUCAUCACAGAAAUGAAUGAAAUGCUGAAAUAUAGGCCUACUGUGUAUAUUUACAUCUAAAGUUUUUUGUACACCCCUUAAACUCAAGAAGGCCUCGCAAUGCACCCUGUGGAGCUGACAUAGAGGACUGCACCUGUUGUAACAAGACAACAGUUUAGUCAAUUUGUCCAAACCACUCUAUGUGGAGCUUAGCUGAAUGUGAGCACACCUGUGAGCACAUUAUAGUAAGUACAGUGGAACCAGAAACCAGGAAGUCUGUCAACUGUUAUUGAAGGAAAGUUUGGGUAACCAUUUUACUGUUUGCUUUUAUUUUAUUUUCCAAAAGAGUUUGGUUAACCUGAAGGUAUGUUUAAAACCUGUAUGAUGUCUCACUUCACAUAUUUCUAACCAGAUCCAACCUCUUUUUAACAAAGUUGCCACAUUCACAGAUCUCAGCGAUUAACAUGGUGAGGAUGAUUGUAUUAUUACUGAUAUGAAUGAUGACAAAAACUGAAAAUAAGAUCCAGGGUGUAAUAAAAAAUAAUUAUCCUUAAA
Molecule: long non-coding RNA, 1560 nt
Organism: Dicentrarchus labrax (European seabass)
Lineage: Eukaryota; Metazoa; Chordata; Actinopteri; Moronidae
Exons: 2
Source: RefSeq, a predicted model, not a curated record